UACGGAAGGCAGCAGUGGGGAAUAUUGCACAAUGGGCGCAAGCCUGAUGCAGCCAUGCCGCGUGUAUGAAGAAGGCCUUCGGGUUGUAAAGUACUUUCAGUCGUGAGGAAGGUGUUAAGGUUAAUAACCUUAGCAAUUGACGUUAGCGACAGAAGAAGCACCGGCUAACUCCGUGCCAGCAGCCGCGGUAAUACGGAGGGUGCGAGCGUUAAUCGGAAUUACUGGGCGUAAAGGGCACGCAGGCGGUUAAUUAAGUUGGAUGUGAAAUCCCCGGGCUUAACCUGGGAAUGGCAUUCAAGACUGGUUAGCUAGAGUCUUGUAGAGGGGGUUAGAAUUCCAUGUGUAGCGGUGAAAUGCGUAGAGAUGUGGAGGAAUACCGGUGGCGAAGGCGGCCCCUGGGACAAGACUGACGCUCAUGUGCGAAAGCGUGGGGAGCGAAACAGGGAUUAGAU
RNAcentral lists this ribosomal RNA (452 nucleotides) under uncultured bacterium. RNAcentral's name for it is "bacterial SSU rRNA". It matches the Rfam family "Bacterial small subunit ribosomal RNA", at positions 340 to 783 of the family's 1533-position model. The record is from RNAcentral.